GAUGAAGAACGUAGCGAAAUGCGAUAAGUAGUGUGAAUUGCAGAAUUCAGUGAAUCAUCGAAUCUUUGAACGCACAUUGCGCUCCAUGGUAUUCCGUGGGGCAUGCCUGUUCGAGCGUCAUUUACCCCCUCAAGCUCCGCUUGGUGUUGGGCGUCUGUCCCGCUUCGCGCGCGGACUCGCCCCAAAGGUAUUGGCAGCGGUCGUGCCAGCUUCUCGCGCAGCACAUUGCGCUUCUCGAGGCACCGGUGGGCCCGCGUCCAUCAAGCUCACCCCCCCAGUUUGACCUCGGAUCAGGUAGGGAUACCCGCUGAACUUAAGCAUAUCAAUAAGCGGAGGA
This 337-nucleotide unclassified non-coding RNA is filed under the name soil metagenome. Its description in RNAcentral is "partial contains 5.8S ribosomal RNA, internal transcribed spacer 2, and large subunit ribosomal RNA". The stretch from base 1 to 120 matches the Rfam family "5.8S ribosomal RNA", at positions 35 to 154 of the family's 154-position model. The record is from RNAcentral.